Molecule: ribosomal RNA, 447 nt
Filed under: uncultured bacterium
Lineage: Bacteria
Description: bacterial SSU rRNA
Rfam family: Bacterial small subunit ribosomal RNA
Source: RNAcentral
UUCCAGACUCCUACGGGAGGCAGCAGUGGGGAAUAUUGCACAAUGGGGGAAACCCUGAUGCAGCAACGCCGCGUGAAGGAAGACGGUUUUCGGAUUGUAAACUUCUGUUCUUAGUGAAGAAGAAUGACGGUAGCUAAGGAGCAAGCCACGGCUAACUACGUGCCAGCAGCCGCGGUAAUACGUAGGGGGCAAGCGUUAUCCGGAUUUACUGGGUGUAAAGGGAGCGUAGACGGCAGCACAAGUCUGAAGUGAAAUGCCGGGGCUUAACCCCGGAACUGCUUUGGAAACUGUGCAGCUAGAGUGCAGGAGAGGUAAGUGGAAUUCCUAGUGUAGCGGUGAAAUGCGUAGAUAUUAGGAGGAACACCAGUGGCGAAGGCGGCUUACUGGACUGUAACUGACGUUGAGGCUCGAAAGCGUGGGGAGCAAACAGGAUUAGAUACCCUGGUA